This is an RNA transcript of Capsicum annuum, 1812 nucleotides long. It is a transcript of the gene named chaperone protein DnaJ, with no coding region annotated. The transcript is spliced from 8 exons. The record is from RefSeq and is a predicted model, not a curated record. NCBI's taxonomy places the organism in Eukaryota, Viridiplantae, Streptophyta, Magnoliopsida, Solanales, Solanaceae.
AGUUGUUGCCAUAUGACCAGAAGGUCACGGGUUUAAGCCUUGGAAACAGCCUCUAACAGAAAUGCAAGGUAAGGCUGCGUACGAUAUACUCUUGUGGUGGAGUCCUUCUCCGGACACCGCAUAUAGUGAUAGCUUUAGUGCACCGGGUUGUCCUAUCAAAAAUCACCUUCGUUUCCUAUCCAAUACAUCCAGUUGCUGGACUAUUUUGUGACUAUCCAAACUCAAGGUUAUUAUUUUGUAUACUACCACACCCAAAAAAAAAAGGGUUACUAAUUUUUUGUAUAAACCAAAAAAAAAUAAUUUAGGGAUUUGAAAUUGAGAAAAAAAAUUGAAUUGGAUUUCUUGUCUCUCACCGUCUAAGCACACACACUCUCAUUCUCUCUCUAUUCUCUAUGAUUCUUGCUUUAUGAUUCUUUGUUCUGAGUUAAUUCUUGUUAGGAACCCUAAUUUGGUCUAGUAUUCCUAUCAAUUUGAUUGAAUUGUAACAUACUUAAGAGAGAAUUAUCAUAAAGUAAAUUACUUUCAGGAGGACAAAAACAAGAAUUUCCAAAAAUAAAGUGAUUUUUUUCUUCUUAAUUGAGUGUCUUUGUCAUCAGUUUUGUCAGUGAGCCUCUUUCCCAUUUUCUCUGCGCGUUUAAAUUUUAACCAUAUUUUUCAUAGGGGUGAAAUCUUCAGAUAAUUGAGCUCCACGGAAUUUUAUGUGAAAUGUUUUAGAUGUCUAUUUUCUUGAUAAUCACAUCAAAAUUACUAGUAUAAAAAGAAUAAAUAAGCAGCAUUAUACUGAAGUAGGGGUAAUAAAGUAACUAGAUUUGGCAGCUACAUGGAGGAUGACAAUAAGACCACCUACAAAUGCAAGGAUUACUACAAGGUUCUUGAAGUGGAAUAUGAUGCAUCCGAUGAGAAGAUCAGAUUAAACUAUAGGAAACUUGCACUGAAGUGGCAUCCCGACAAACACAAGUGUAAUGAUGCAGCAACCACUAAAUUUCAAGAGAUUAAUGAAGCUUAUUCGGUGUUAAGUGAUCCUCAUAAGAGACUUGACUAUGAUCUAAAUGGAAACUAUGAGAUAAAUAAUUAUACUUUGCCAGAAUAUCUAGCAAGAUUCAAAGGGAUGAUACUUACCUGUAAUGGGCUUGGCAUAAGUCAAGAUUCAGUCUGGUCAGAGCAAUUAACAGAUUUUAACAAGUUGAUGGACAAAUGAAAGAGGGUGGUCAUCUUUUUUUCUCGUUUCCACACUCAUCGCCUUUCGAAUGAUAAUAUGCAUUCUGCUUCAGCCACUCGAAUUAUCGAUAUUCCAGUUUGGUUUCAAUUUUUUUUUUUUGGGACAUAGCAAGUACGUGCAUCGGUGCAUGCACCUCCUCGAUGAUGGCUCGAAUCAACACUUGUUUUGGUCCCUUAUUGUCUUGGAAUACUCUGGAGUUUCUUUCCAGCCACAAAUGGUACGCUGCAGCUGCUACGGUCAUCUUGUAUACACCUGCACCAGCACUAUGACCCCUGCAAUGUUGGACUGCCCAUCUGCCUUCAUCUCUCCAGCUCGUGCAUCGUGGAUGUACACCUUGCCAUUGUAGCAAUGCAUUCCACACUUCUGCUGCAACUCCACACUGAAAAGAAGAUGUUGAAUGUUCUCACCUGGUUGUUGACAUAGUCCACACUUCUGAUCACUUAAAAUGCCCCAUCUGCUUAGCCUUUCUUUAGUAGCUAGCUUCUCUAGAAUGCCCAGUCUGAGCACAAAUAUCCACUUUGGAGAACCAUGAUUAUUGCAAACCAACUUCCUACCAACUAACUAUUUUAUAUUUUCAAAUUUCGAUUUAUUUA